CGCCCAUUAAAGCGGUACGCGAGCUGGGUUCAGAACGUCGUGAGACAGUUCGGUCCCUAUCCGUCGUGGGCGUAGGAAAUUUGAGAGGAGCUGUCCUUAGUACGAGAGGACCGGGAUGGACAUACCUCUGGUGUACCAGUUGUCGUGCCAACGGCAUAGCUGGGUAGCUAUGUGUGGACGGGAUAAGUGCUGAAAGCAUCUAAGCAUGAAGCCCCCCUCAAGAUGAGAUUUCCCAACUUCGGUUAUAAGAUCCCUCAAAGAUGAUGAGGUUAAUAGGUUCGAGGUGGAAGCAUGGUGACAUGUGGAGCUGACGAAUACUAAUCGAUCGAAGACUUAAUCAA
This 341-nucleotide ribosomal RNA is filed under the name Staphylococcus aureus. RNAcentral describes it as "partial 23S ribosomal RNA". It matches the Rfam family "Bacterial large subunit ribosomal RNA", at positions 2582 to 2925 of the family's 2925-position model. Lineage: Bacteria; Bacillati; Bacillota; Bacilli; Caryophanales; Staphylococcaceae. The record is from RNAcentral.